RNAcentral lists this ribosomal RNA (253 nucleotides) under uncultured bacterium. RNAcentral's name for it is "partial 16S ribosomal RNA". It matches the Rfam family "Bacterial small subunit ribosomal RNA", at positions 524 to 776 of the family's 1533-position model. The record is from RNAcentral.
UACGUAGGGGGCAAGCGUUGUCCGGAAUUAUUGGGCGUAAAGAGCGUGUAGGCGGUCCGGUAAGUCGGCUGUGAAAGUCCAGGGCUCAACCCUGGGAUGCCGGUCGAUACUGCCGGACUAGAGUUCGGAAGAGGCGAGUGGAAUUCCCGGUGUAGCGGUGAAAUGCGCAGAUAUCGGGAGGAACACCUAUGGCGAAGGCAGCUCGCUGGGACGUUACUGACGCUAAGGCGCGAAAGCGUGGGGAGCGAACAGG